RNAcentral lists this microRNA (22 nucleotides) under Heligmosomoides polygyrus. RNAcentral's name for it is "hpo-miR-233-5p". Its record names the gene hpo-miR-233-5p. Lineage: Eukaryota; Metazoa; Nematoda; Chromadorea; Rhabditida; Heligmosomidae. The record is from miRBase by way of RNAcentral.
CUGUACAUGUCGUGCUUCAAUA